Long non-coding RNA from Frankliniella occidentalis (western flower thrips), 720 nucleotides. RefSeq lists it as uncharacterized. NCBI's taxonomy places the organism in Eukaryota, Metazoa, Arthropoda, Insecta, Thysanoptera, Thripidae. The record is from RefSeq and is a predicted model, not a curated record. The transcript has 3 exons.
GCGAAAGGCUCCUAGGCAGGACGGACGUGGGUGUGCUAAUGUAACCAGACGACACCGCCAGCCCCGCCAGCCCCUCCAGCCCCGUCGGCCGCGCCGGCCGCCAGCCGCCGCAGCUCGCCGACUCUGAUUCGUCGAGUGUUGCGUUAUACUGGCCGCGCAGUCGCCGUCGACAAACACAACAAAUCGAGCGCGCAUCUCUCGUCUGGACGUGAUUGAAAACUUUGUGUAUACGAGAGAGGCCCAUAAGGACUUGUGAGCUCCGGCCGAGUUGGUGCCAGCGCCUCCCCUGCACGGCUAUCGGCCGCCUGUCGGUAGUGAUUGGGGCCGGCGACUGAGAGAGCGGCUGACCAAAGUCUGGCGCCGUCCCGCGGCCGCCAGGAGAACGGGCCAGGCGCCGAAGGAGUUUCUUCGUGGAAUACAGAGAAAUGGCUCUGUAAGGACGCCCGGGAAGACGCUGGAGGGAGAAUGAAUGAGGCCUGGCACACGCGGCUGGAGCGGCGGGACCGCGUUAAAGUUGCGUUACACGUCGCCGCUCCGGCCGCUCCUCCUCUUCGUCCAGACGCCGUCCACUGACCACACGCCCCUUAUCAUGUCGCCCGCGCGGGGCGGCCAUCGGGCGGCCAUCGGGCGGCCCGGGCCCAACGGAAGCGACAAAGGAUUUAAUUUCCCGAAAUUCCUGUUGCUCGUGGGGAAGCUGCUUCUGUAUAUCCUCCAUCCCCA